AUUAUUUUCCAGUUCAUAAGCAUGAUGAUUGAGUCUUUAUCCUCUUGCAUGACAUGUGCCUCCCUCAAGCCUUGUUAUCACAUGGGCACAUUACCUGUCUGAUG
Perognathus longimembris pacificus (Pacific pocket mouse) is the source of this 104-nucleotide small nucleolar RNA. RefSeq annotates it as small nucleolar RNA U13. The transcript has a single exon. Lineage: Eukaryota; Metazoa; Chordata; Mammalia; Rodentia; Heteromyidae. The record is from RefSeq and is a predicted model, not a curated record.